RNAcentral lists this RNase P RNA (391 nucleotides) under Alphaproteobacteria bacterium. RNAcentral describes it as "RNase P RNA component class A". It matches the Rfam family "Bacterial RNase P class A". From Rfam's summary of the family: Ribonuclease P (RNase P) is a ubiquitous endoribonuclease, found in archaea, bacteria and eukarya as well as chloroplasts and mitochondria. Its best characterised activity is the generation of mature 5'-ends of tRNAs by cleaving the 5'-leader elements of precursor-tRNAs. Lineage: Bacteria; Pseudomonadati; Pseudomonadota; Alphaproteobacteria. The record is from RNAcentral.
CAAGGUGGUCGGAUAGCUGCGUUGAAGUUUUCUUCAAUGAGGAAAGUCCGAGCGUUUUGGAAACAAGAUACCGGAUAACGUCCGGCUGGAGAAAUCCAAGGGAAAGUGCCACAGAAAAGUACCGCCAAAUAAAUUUUGGUAAGGUUGAAAAGGCGAGGUAAGAGCUCACCGCGAGCAUAGUAAUAUGCUUGGCAAGGUAAACCCUAUCUGACGCAAGACCAAAUAAGGAGAAUAGUUUUUGCUAUUUACUGAGCGUUUCCACUCUGCUCCAGAGGUAGGUCGCAUGAAUUUGCUGGUGACAGUAAAUCUAGAUGAAUAGCUAUCGCUUUAAUCUUCACAAUAGUGAAGCAAAUGAAAAGUACAGAACUCGGCUUAUAGACCACCUAAUAUU